AGAGUUUGAUCAUGGCUCAGGAUGAACGCUGGCGGCGUGCUUAACACAUGCAAGUCGAACGGAGAACCCCUGACGGAGGAUUCGUCCAACUGAAGGGAAUUCUUAGUGGCGGACGGGUGAGUAACGCGUGAGGAACCUACCUUGGAGUGGGGAAUAACAGUCCGAAAGGACUGCUAAUACCGCAUAAUGCAGUUGGGCCGCAUGGCUCUGACUGCCAAAGAUUUAUCGCUCUGAGAUGGCCUCGCGUCUGAUUAGCUAGUAGGCGGGGUAACGGCCCACCUAGGCGACGAUCAGUAGCCGGACUGAGAGGUUGACCGGCCACAUUGGGACUGAGACACGGCCCAGACUCCUACGGGAGGCAGCAGUGGGGAAUAUUGGGCAAUGGGCGCAAGCCUGACCCAGCAACGCCGCGUGAAGGAAGAAGGCCCUCGGGUUGUAAACUUCUUUUGACAGGGACGAAACAAAUGACGGUACCUGUCGAAUAAGCCACGGCUAACUACGUGCCAGCAGCCGCGGUAAUACGUAGGUGGCAAGCGUUAUCCGG
Molecule: ribosomal RNA, 544 nt
Filed under: uncultured bacterium
Lineage: Bacteria
Description: bacterial SSU rRNA
Rfam family: Bacterial small subunit ribosomal RNA
Source: RNAcentral